GGUUGUGCAAUUGUGAAAAUCCUUUCUGGUUGACGCACAGGUCCAAUGUGAAAGAAUUCGAGAACCUGAAAAGUCUGGCAAAAGGGAAGUUUAUUGUUGGCACGGAGAAGCUAGCUUUGCUAGUGGCAAGGUCCUGUCAGAGAAAUAACAAAGAUUAUGACUGAGAAGAGAAUGUCUUCACAACGGGCAGGAGUUCUGGCAGGCAGCUGUGUGAAGAGGAGAAAGUAGCAUAAUCCUACUUCGGAUUUUGGCAGAGAUUUGGAGUUCAAAAUUGUCUUUUUGCAAUCUGGCUUGUUUGAGGCUUGGGCUUCCAUUGAAAAUUGGAUGAGAAUCCCUCAGUGUUGUCAAUGACCCCAGGCCUAGAUUUCCAGUUGAAAGUUUAUCUUGGAGUUUCAAGCCACUUAAUAGGAAUAUCAAGCUCAGAUCUCCAAUUGAAUAACAUAAUUUUGAAGACUUUUCUCCAGAGUCUUGGGAAUUUCAUGAAGAGCCAACCCAAAAGAUCAAAAAGAAAGGGAAGUGAUAGUAGAAAAGAGAGAGAAUUCUUUUGGGGGAAAUGAAGUACAGUUCCUUUAAAAAAGUAAUGAUCAACUUCAAAUGGAAAAAUAAAGAAUCUGAAAAGAUGAGAUGGAAUGAAAUCUUAAUUUGUGAUAAGAGGUUGUAGGAUAGAAAAAUGUGACACAAGGAAGAAAAGGACCAGUUACUUUUAGAGAUCUGUAAUAGCUAUGAGUUUCUUAUCUUAAAUUAAACUCCCUAAAGAGGAAGACAUUUCUGUGCUUCAAAGAAUGAUGAUGAAGACACACAGAAAGAAAGCAUUUAUUAUUGGACAGAACAAGAUUGUUUCCUAACUCCCUUCUGAGAGGAUUUUAUGCUCAUCUCACAUGGAACAAGAGGGAAUUAUGUUGCUUUAUUAUGGCAUGAUGUAACCGAGGGUCCCCUUUAAGACUUGUCAAAUAUGGGAAUCACCAGGCCCAAGGAAUGUUUCACAUACUAUCAGAUUUGGGGUCCAUGUUGGCUUGUUUUGUUUACAUUUUUUCCUUUAUUCAAAAAGAUAUUCUAAGGGGAAAGAAAG
Molecule: long non-coding RNA, 1069 nt
Filed under: Sarcophilus harrisii (Tasmanian devil)
Lineage: Eukaryota; Metazoa; Chordata; Mammalia; Dasyuromorphia; Dasyuridae
Description: lncRNA (ENSSHAG00000024669.1)
Source: RNAcentral